RNAcentral lists this small RNA (103 nucleotides) under Caenorhabditis elegans. RNAcentral's name for it is "Unclassified non-coding RNA Y92H12A.12". The record is from RNAcentral. Lineage: Eukaryota; Metazoa; Nematoda; Chromadorea; Rhabditida; Rhabditidae.
GAUGCGAAUGUUUCGAUAGCGUUAUAGCAUACGCAGUCGGCUGUGUAAUCCCAUACUCGGCGGAUGUGAAGGAUGAUUUUGUUCCAGAAGUGGUCCGGUAGAG